CAGUCGCCGCGGUAAUACGAAGGGGGCUAGCGUUGUUCGGAUUUACUGGGCGUAAAGCGCACGUAGGCGGACUUUUAAGUCAGGGGUGAAAUCCCGGGGCUCAACCCCGGAACUGCCUUUGAUACUGGAAGUCUUGAGUAUGGUAGAGGUGAGUGGAAUUCCGAGUGUAGAGGUGAAAUUCGUAUAUAUUCGGAGGAACACCAGUGGCGAAGGCGGCUCACUGGACCAUUACUGACGCUGAGGUGCGAAAGCGUGGGGAGCAAACAGGAUUAGAUACCCGGGUAGUCCCUGUCUCUUAUAC
This 301-nucleotide ribosomal RNA is filed under the name uncultured bacterium. RNAcentral describes it as "partial 16S ribosomal RNA". It matches the Rfam family "Bacterial small subunit ribosomal RNA", at positions 509 to 807 of the family's 1533-position model. The record is from RNAcentral.